Molecule: ribosomal RNA, 460 nt
Filed under: Vibrio sp. CR-IV-E26
Lineage: Bacteria; Pseudomonadati; Pseudomonadota; Gammaproteobacteria; Vibrionales; Vibrionaceae
Description: bacterial SSU rRNA
Rfam family: Bacterial small subunit ribosomal RNA
Source: RNAcentral
AAUACCGCAUAAUGCCUACGGGCCAAAGAGGGGGACCUUCGGGCCUCUCGCGUCAGGAUAUGCCUAGGUGGGAUUAGCUAGUUGGUGAGGUAAUGGCUCACCAAGGCGACGAUCCCUAGCUGGUCUGAGAGGAUGAUCAGCCACACUGGAACUGAGACACGGUCCAGACUCCUACGGGAGGCAGCAGUGGGGAAUAUUGCACAAUGGGCGCAAGCCUGAUGCAGCCAUGCCGCGUGUGUGAAGAAGGCCUUCGGGUUGUAAAGCACUUUCAGUCGUGAGGAAGGUAGUGUAGUUAAUAGCUGCAUUAUUUGACGUUAGCGACAGAAGAAGCACCGGCUAACUCCGUGCCAGCAGCCGCGGUAAUACGGAGGGUGCGAGCGUUAAUCGGAAUUACUGGGCGUAAAGCGCAUGCAGGUGGUUUGUUAAGUCAGAUGUGAAAGCCCGGGGCUCAACCUCGGAA